AGCUGGAGUUGCGUAAGAACUCUACCCCAAGCUCUUGUGCCCUACCCUAUACCCACUUCGCUGUACUUAGUUUCGACACAUCAAGAUGCUGCUUUUUACUGGAGGUUCAAGAAUAUUUUUCAUUUUCGCCAUCAUCUUGGCUAUGGCCGUCAUUGGAGCAUCGGCAGGAGGUCGUCCGGAUCCUAAACCUGGAAACUGUCCCACUAAUUAUUACGACAGUGGCCCUGACGACGGAGACACCUGCUUUGCCGACUACCAGUGUCUAGGUGACUACAAGUGCUGUCUGGUGAGGACCGGUUCCGGAAGCCGAAGACGUUGCGUUCCUCCACGAUUCAAUUAAUACACAAGAUGUGAAGAACAAAAGGUGCCUUCAUUUAUGAGCUGAGAUGCCAGUUCAUCAGCUAAAGUAUGAUGAGAAUUUCAAAAAGAAGUUAUGAAUUUACGGCGUCUUUG
Long non-coding RNA from Macrobrachium nipponense, 453 nucleotides. RefSeq lists it as uncharacterized. The record is from RefSeq and is a predicted model, not a curated record. Lineage: Eukaryota; Metazoa; Arthropoda; Malacostraca; Decapoda; Palaemonidae. The transcript is spliced from 3 exons.